Long non-coding RNA from Pteropus alecto (black flying fox), 2719 nucleotides. RefSeq lists it as uncharacterized. The record is from RefSeq and is a predicted model, not a curated record. The transcript is spliced from 6 exons. Lineage: Eukaryota; Metazoa; Chordata; Mammalia; Chiroptera; Pteropodidae.
GUUUAAGGUCUGUACAGGUCUUUUGGACACCUUAGAUGGGCAGAGCUUAAUGUUCAGCUACAACAGGUUGCUGAAAGCGGGCUCUGGUAAAUCAUUUAGGAGCAGGAGGCACCCACAGAUCUAGUACUGCCAAUUCAGGCCGACAGGCAUCCAGUCUCCGUGUUCCUGGCAAACUUCCAGCCCCCAUUUCCCAUCCGAGCCUCGUCCAGUUCUCCAUGUAAAAGCACCAUCUACCUGAGCAGAGCGUAUGCUUCUGCACUACCACGUAGGUACCACAAAAACAAGGCAAUUUCACAAACAAGCGCGGCGGAUGCUACAAGGCCCCUGGUAAGGGUUGGCAGAACCUAGAGGAAGCAGACCAGAGGGGUAAGACGAUAGCCUGUAGGACGCCAUAGGACGAAAAGAUACUCAGCGUCGGACCCUGCGCCACUGCGCAUCAGCACUACGCCCACAGCGUGAGCUCUGAUGGCGCUGUCUCUGAUGUCACCACGCUGCCGGACUCCCAUAGGCCUGGGUAGCCACGUGGAUUUGUCAGGUCCAGCCCAACCGGAGGCUCGUCCCACAGCCCUCUUUAGUUCCAUUCCUCCCUUCUCCUCGUGGCUUUUCCUCACCGUGCGAGAACUUGGACUUCCCAGGACUCGGGGCGGAAAAUUAUGAGAAGGUGGAGCUUGCUUAGAAACUUGUCAAGGACACAGUGAAACCUCUCACCCCACAGACUGCUGAAAUGCUGGUCUGUGACCGGAAGGUUGUCCAAUAUGUGGAGCUUUCUGCAUUCACAUGGAAAAAUGUAAAGAAAGUACGUAGUUGACAAAGCACUAUUGGCUGUCCUGGAGCCUCUAGAACUGAAGAAGAGCGCAGCGGUAUCAUCUGGAGCCUGGCAGAAGAUUACACAAGACCAGUGCUCUCUGUUUAUGACCCAUGUGGAUGCCUAUGGAAAAGGACUCUUGGUGGAUAAACAUCAAUGGAAUCUUCAAGCUAAUUUGACCUGAACUUCCCAGGUCCAGUGUUUGAUGAAACUCAUGAAAGUGCAUGGAACCCAACUUGCCCUCUUCUCUAGAAUGCAAUGCAUAUGUGAUUGCGACUUUUAAGAAACCCUCAUAGGUACUUGGCUGUUCUAAUUUGGCUACCUGGCAACAAGGAUCUGUAAUAUCUUAACUACCACCUACAAAGAGGAAAUCAGUUCUUCUUGUGAGCUUAUUCUGAUAAUGCCAUAUUGUGAGCAACCUUAUAGAGAGACCCAUAUGGCAGGGAACUGAGGAUGGCCUAUGGCAAGCAGCCAGGGAGGAACUGCCCGCAACCGAACAGCCUGGGAAUAACUGAAUCCUUCCAACAGUGAGUGAACUUGGAAGCAGAUCCUUUUUCAGUUAAGCCCUCAGAUGAGAUCACAGCCCUGGAUGACCUUUGACUACCGUCUUGAGAGAGACCCUGAAGCACAUAAUCUAGCUAAGUCAUGAUGAGAUUCCUCACCCACAGAAACUAUGAGAUAAUAAAUGUGUGUUGUUUAUAAUCCACUAAUCUGGGGGGUAUUUUGUUACACAGUAAUAGAUAACUAAUACAUCCACUUUAUACCUGUUAAUUUUCUUUGUUCUGAACCCUACUUUUAAAUUAACUACUCUAGCUUCCUUUUUAUUAGUGUUUACUUUUUUCUCCCACUCUUUAAAUUUCAACCUACCUAUAUCAUUAUAUUUGAAAUGAGUUUCUAGUGACAGAAUAUAGUUAUUUUUUAAUCCAUUUUGAUAUAUUCUUUAAUUAGUAUGUUUAAGUAUAUGAUUAUUGAUAUUUAAAUUUCAAUUUCCUAUCAUUUUAUUAUAUGUCCUCUGUUUAUUUUCUAUGUUUUUCAUUCUUCUCAUAUCCCUUUAUUACCAUCUUUUGGGAAAUGAGAAUAUUUUUGGUAUUCCAUUUUAAUUUAUUGAUUGCAUUUUUAGCUGUCUCUUUGCACAGUUUUAUGUAGUGGUUGGUUGCACCAGAGAUUAUGAUGUACACACUUAACUUUUCACAGUUUGCUUAGAAUCAAUAUUUUAUCAUUGCAAAUGGCCUGCCAUUUAGGUCCCUUUACUUUUACUCCUUUAUAUUGUAAUUGUUUUUGCAUAGUAUACCUACACACACUGAAAACUCAAUAAGAAAUGUUAUAAUUUUUGCUUUCAACCAUCAAACAUUUUAAAGAAUCAAGAGAAAAAAGAAUAUUCUGUAUUAUUUACCCAGAUAUUCACACUUCAUGUUAUUCUUCCUUCCUUUCUAAUGUUCCUUGUUUCUGUCUGAUGUUAUUUCCCUUAUGUUUAAACUUCCUUUCACAUUUUGUAGAGCAGGUUUUUUGCAACAAAUUCUUAGUUUCCUUUUACCUGAGUGUGUCUUUAUUUCAUUUCUUUCCUGAAACAUAGUUUCAUUAGAUAUAGAAUUCUGAGUUGAACAUCUAUUACUGCAUGAAAUGACCAAUAAUAUUAACAUUUUUUUUUCUAAACUCAACCCUACAUUUUUAAUUGUAUGAAGCAUGAAACUACCAUACAAACUUCCAUAUUAUGGAGUAUCAUGGGGAUUUAAUUUUUUUCUUAUUACCAAAGUAAUAUGUGUGGAAUUCAGAGCUUUUGAAAAAUAGAGAAAAGCACACAUUUAAAAUGAGACUUAAAUCUCUGUAAUCCUAACACACAAAAAGGACCCACUGUUAAAAUUUUGUUCUUUGUAAAUAUGUACACCUUUUAAAUAAAGCUAGAAAUAUAUUAUA